This 200-nucleotide ribosomal RNA is filed under the name uncultured bacterium. Its description in RNAcentral is "partial 16S ribosomal RNA". It matches the Rfam family "Bacterial small subunit ribosomal RNA", at positions 8 to 203 of the family's 1533-position model. The record is from RNAcentral.
AGAGUUUGAUCCUGGCUCAGGACGAACGCUGGCGGCGUGCCUAACACAUGCAAGUCGCGCGAGAAAGUUCCCGCAAGGGAGCGAGUAAAGCGGCAGACGGGUGAGUAACACGUGGAUAACAUACCUUCCUGCGGGGGACAACGGUCCGAAAGGAUCGCUAAUACCGCAUGACAUCAUAACAGGGCAUCCUGAAGUGAUCA